This 470-nucleotide ribosomal RNA is filed under the name uncultured bacterium. Its description in RNAcentral is "bacterial SSU rRNA". It matches the Rfam family "Bacterial small subunit ribosomal RNA", at positions 28 to 380 of the family's 1533-position model. The record is from RNAcentral.
GAUGAACGCUGGCGGCGUGCUUAACACAUGCAAGUCGAGCGGGCAAUUUAUCUAGCACUGAUUACUUCAAAUGGAAAUCAUAAGUGUAAUCAUGAAUUUCUACCUUUAAUAAAGAAAAAAGAAAUUCAUGUACGCAAAUAGUGAUAACACAUUUUAGUGGAGUGAUGAGUGCUGGAUAAAUUGCUAGCGGCGGACGGGUGCGUAACACGUGGGUAACCUGCCCCUAUCACUGGGAUAACACACUGAAAAGUGUGCUAAUACCAGAUAAUAUAAGCUUUUGGCAUCAUUAGCUUAUCAAAGAAUUUCGGAUAGGGAUGGGCCCGCGUCUGAUUAGCUAGUUGGUGAGGUAACGGCUCACCAAGGCAACGAUCAGUAGCCGACCUGAGAGGGUGAUCGGCCACACUGGAACUGAGACACGGUCCAGACUCCUACGGGAGGCAGCAGUGGGGAAUAUUGCACAAUGGGCGAAA